This 1304-nucleotide long non-coding RNA is filed under the name Sparus aurata (gilthead seabream). RNAcentral's name for it is "lncRNA (ENSSAUG00010005567.1)". Lineage: Eukaryota; Metazoa; Chordata; Actinopteri; Spariformes; Sparidae. The record is from RNAcentral.
CGUCACAUCUGGCGAAAAAUUUGAUAAUUUAAUGUCCUUGGGCGAGGUCGUGACCUGCGGGCUCUGUAGCGCCCCCUAAUGUUCAGCCCCGCCUCCCACAAGUGCCUAGAAGAACGAAAAUCAAUACGCUGGUUCCUCAUGACCAGACGCACAAAAAAUGCUCUUGGAGCGAUACCGUCACUCCAACAGGAAGUCAGCAAUUUAGAUGUGUGGCGGCGUUUUUGUCCAAUUCAUGCCUACUUUGACAACGAACUUGUCCUAGAGCUUAAACACGACAGUCUUCACAGAGAACAAAAGUUAUUAAAAUCUUUCAGCUGCGAGAUACUUUAGUGGGCGGGGCGACGGAAACCAUUUUUUUCCCUCGCGGUCAACCAUCGAGGCUUUAUAACUUCAACAUACAAUUUCCUAUCCACACCAAACUUCUCAUAAGUGUAGAGGCUGUCUCCCUGAACACAUCUCAGCAUCAAUACUAAGUCGGCCAUUUUGAUUUUGGCCGCCAUGUUGAAAUAGUGCCAAUCUUCGGACUUAAAUUAACUCCUCCUACAGAUGUAACGCCACCGACUUCAAAGUCACUCAGUAGCAUCCUCUGACCUUGAAGAUGAAAGGUUAUCAAAAUCUUUAUCCUACGUCAUACCUGCUGGCCACAGUGGAGCGGUCAAUUCGAAUCCUUCGCCGUAAAGCAUCGUUUCCUCAUAACUUCUUCAUAUAAUGUCUUAUCUCGGCCAAAUCUCUCAGGAAUGCAGAGGGAGUCGCCCUGAUGAGAUAUGUGUGGUCAUGAGGCGUGGCCGUGACGCGUGGGCUCUGUAGCGCCACCUAUUGUGAUGCCCCGCCUCCUACAUGUAACAUAGAAGGACGAAAAUUUGUACGCAGAUUCCUCAUGACUGGACGCACAAAAAACCCAUUUGGACCCCUGGUGUCAGUCCAACAGGAAGUCAGCCAUGUAGAUGUGUGGCGCCGUUUUUGUCCAAAUCAUGCCUACUUUGACAACGAACUUGUCCUAGAGCUUAAACACCACUGUCUUUAAAUUAACUCAGUCAUUUUCUUCAUGCCUUGAAGAACAAAAGUUAUUAAAAUCUUUCAGCUGCGACAUACUUUAGUGGGCGGGGCAGUGGAAACCAUUUUUUGCCCUCGCGGUCAAACAUCAAGGCUUUAUAACUUCAACAUACAAUUUCCUAUCCACACCAAACUGCUUGUAACUGUAGAGGCUGUCUCCCCGAACAAAUCUCAGUAUCAAUACUUAGUCUGCCAUUUGCUGUGGCCGCCAUUUUGAAUUAUGCCAGUCUUUGUACUUAAAUUAUCUCCUC